GGAAAAUACAGUUGGGUGUGAGUGAGCAAGGGUUUAAGACAUAGAGAGAGAUGUGCAUUAUGCUGCUGCAGCAUUACGCUCACUAAACGGUUUGUGGCUCAGCCUGCCUGACAACCCCUGCAGCACAAACGAGAGAGAGAGAGAGAGAGAGAGAGAGAGAGAGAGAGAGAGCGAGCGUGCAAAAGACAGAGAGAGUGUGUGAGAGGGAACUGACAAAGGAGGGUGGGCAGGCUCAUUUGGCCGCUGCGGGGCUGCGUAGCAGAAGCAACGCAGCACUCUCCGGUGGCACACACUUGCACCAGCACAGACCCAGCAGCCGAGUCCUGGACCACCGGCCAUGGCACAAGCCGCCAAACACCUGCGUAAGAACAAGGAUUUAGAGGCUCUUGCUGAGCAAGAGAGGAAAGAAAAGGAGGAGGAGAGAGUGAAGAAGAGGAGUCGCUCACGGGACAAAAAGCGCAAGGAUAUCAAGACACAGGCAAGGAUGGAGAGGUGUCCAGUAUGGGAUGUGGACCUGCACUGCGACAUUUUGCUGCUGCUGAGUGUGAAGCAGCAGGAUGAACAUCUGCACCAAGGUCAUGGUUUUCUCCCAGAAAAGAGUGGGAUAUUCCUGGCCUUGCCCCUGGUGGAGGAGUAUCUUGGGAUCUUAUUCAAGAAUGCUGUGAGAUUGAUAAAUGGAUUGGGUCAGCAGCAGCAGUGUUGCAGUUGCUGUACUGGUCUGUGUACUGGUCUGUGUACUGGUCUAUCUAUGUCCAUAUCCACACCUACGGUCACAAGCUGACAGAAAGAAUAAGGUUGCAAGUAUUAGCACCAGAAAUGAGGUUCCUCAGUAGGGUUGCUGACUUACUCUCGCUGAUUGGGUGAGGUGCUCAAUAAUCCAGAAGAAACUUGGAGUAUAGCCACUGCUCCUGUG
This is a long non-coding RNA of Ictalurus punctatus (channel catfish), 913 nucleotides long. The record is from Ensembl. NCBI's taxonomy places the organism in Eukaryota, Metazoa, Chordata, Actinopteri, Siluriformes, Ictaluridae.